GACGAACGCUGGCGGCGUGCUUAACACAUGCAAGUCGAGCGGAGCGGCGAACGGGUGAGUAACGCGUGAGUAACUGCCCCCCUCUCUGGGAUAACAGUUGGAAACGGCUGCUAAUACCGGAUAGUGGGGGAUGACGGGCGUCCUAUCAGCUUGUUGGUGGGGUAGUGGCCUACCACGGCGACGACGGGUAACCGGCAUGAGAGGGCGACCGGCCACAUGGGGCUGAGAUACGGCCCAAACGCCUAGGGGAGGCAGCAGUGGGGAAUAUUGCAGAACGGGGGAAACCGUGAUGCAGCAACGCCGCGUGCGGGAUGACGGCCGUCGGGUUGUAAACCGCUUUCAGCCAUGACGCGGUAGUGGCAGAAGAAGCACCGGCUAACUACGUGCCAGCAGCCGCGGUAAUUC
RNAcentral lists this ribosomal RNA (405 nucleotides) under uncultured bacterium. RNAcentral's name for it is "partial 16S ribosomal RNA". It matches the Rfam family "Bacterial small subunit ribosomal RNA", at positions 28 to 526 of the family's 1533-position model. The record is from RNAcentral.